GAUGAAGAACGCAGCGAAAUGCGAUACGUAGUGUGAACUGCAGAAUUCAGUGAAUCAUCGAAUCUUUGAACGCACAUUGCGCCCGCCAGUAUUCUGGCGGGCAUGCCUGUUCGAGCGUCAUUUCAACCAUCAAGCCCCCGGCUUGUGUUGGGGACCUGCGGCUGCCGCAGGCCCUGAAAACCAGUGGCGGGCUCGCUAGUCACUCCGAGCGUAGUAAUACAUCUCGCUCAGGGCGUGCUGCGGGUUCCGGCCGUUAAAAAAGCCUUAUUUACCCAAGGUUGACCUCGGAUCAGGUAGGAAGACCCGCUGAACUUAAGCAUAUCAAUAAGCGGAGGA
RNAcentral lists this unclassified non-coding RNA (336 nucleotides) under soil metagenome. RNAcentral describes it as "partial contains 5.8S ribosomal RNA, internal transcribed spacer 2, and large subunit ribosomal RNA". The stretch from base 1 to 120 matches the Rfam family "5.8S ribosomal RNA", at positions 35 to 154 of the family's 154-position model. The record is from RNAcentral.